CGCGGCGGGCGCCGGGCCCCCGGCACUGAGGGGCCGGCGGGGGUCGCGGCCCCUGCCGCCCUCGGCGGAGGCGGCGGCGCCCCCAGCCCCGGUCCCCACCCCGGGGACGCUCUCCGGCGCGGUGCGCUGCCGCCGGCUGUGCUGAGUCACUGGCGGCACUUCGCCGGGCAGCCGGCCGACGUCGAGCCUACCACGUUGAAAGUGCCUGCUGAGCGCGGCUGUGUCGGCGACCGUGCGCGCACACGGUCCUGGAGGACACGUGCCGGCGGCAGGACUUCAACCCCAACGAGUACGACCUGAAGUUUCAGAGGAAUGUGCUGGACCUGUCUCUGCAGUGGCGAUUCGCCAACCUGCCCAACAACGCCAAGCUGGAGAUGGUGCCCAUCUCCCGGAGCCGCGAGGGGCCUGAGACCAUGGUGCGCGUUGCCCUGCAGCUGGACGACGGCUCCCGGCUGCAAGACGCUUUCUGCUCAGGCCGGACGCUCUGGGAGCUCCUCUGCCACUUUGCGCAGAUCAGGGAGCGUCUCGAGCGGCCGUGUCAGGCGAGCCCAGUCUGCGUGUACAUGCGGGACGAGGUGACCGGCAGAGCCGCCUUGCAGAGCACGACCCUGCAGUCGCUGGGCCUCACCGGGGGCAGUGCCACCAUCAGGUUCGCCAUGAAGCCCUGGGACGCGGCCGGCACGCAGGAGCCCGGGGCCGCCCAGAGCAGGAGCCCGGGAAGCCCGCGCCUGACACCAGCCGGCCAGGCCGCCAGCAGCCCUCUGCUGCCGCUGAACCCCGCAGGGCUCAGCCACGGCGACGUGAGCCGGCAGGACGCGGCAGCCAGCGCGGGGCCCGGCCUCACGGACGGCCCCGGCCCCACGCCCGCAGACGCCCAGGCCAAGCCCGUCGCGAAGGAGCCCGCACCUGCCCCCUUCGUGCCCUUCUCAGGCGGGGGACAGCGACUGGGGGGGCCCUGCGGGGCCGCAAGGCCUCUGGUGUCACCUUCAGCCAAACCACCCAAGUCCUUCUCCAGCCCCGCAGGCCCCUCGAAGCCAAAGAAGUCGCGGCCUGGCCAGGAGCCCCAGCAGGAGCCGGAGCCAGAGCUGGAGCCGCCGGUGGACCGAGCCCCCGUGGUGUGCCACCCCGACCUGGAGGUGCUGCUUCAGGCCUGGCCUGCGGAGCUGCCUGAUGAGUUCUUCGAGGUGACCGUGGACGACGUCCGAAGGCGCCUGGCCCAGCUCAAGAGCGAGCGGAAGCGCCUGGAAGAAGCACCCCUGGUGACCAAGGCCCUCCGGGAGGCCCAGAUGAAGGAGAAGCUGCAGCGCUACCCUAAGGUGGUCCUGAGGGUCCUGUUUCCGGACCGCCACAUCCUGCAGGGCUUCUUCCGCCCCAGUGAGACCGGUGAGCAGCCCUCGGGGCAUCUGGGGGGCGGGCGGCCCGUGACCCCCUCAGGCCCCUUCCCUCAGGGCCGUGGGGCUGCAGGGCUGGGCUCCAGGGCUGGCCUUGGCCGGGUGCUGUGGUCUCCGUGGGGCAGGCGGCAGGUGCGGGCUAGGGGCUGGACUCACAUCAAAUGCUUGGCAGGCCAGGCGGGCAGUUCUGGGCGCGGGUGGGAUAGGGGCACCCAGAGGAGGUGGGCCCAGGGCUCCCCAGCACCUGCUGUUGGGUCUCCGGCCUGGGGCUGUGGCUCACCUGGGGGGAAGGCAGCAGUGCCACCGGUUCUGAGUGGGGUCCUUGGUGACCCGGACCCAAGACUGCAGAGGUGGGGUGGCAGGCAGGCCCUCAAGGUCCCCGGUCCCCGGGGGCAGCUCUGGCUGGUGGUGGGCGGAGCGAACGGCCGAGGGAGGGACAGUCCCCCAGCAGAUGGGGUCCCAGGCUGGGACCAUCCCACUGCCAAACUGCUGGGGGCACCGUGGAAAGAACAAGCUUGGAUUGCUGCCCUCAAAGCUCGGAUUUGGCCUGAGGUCGAGCCGCUGCGUCCGUGGAGGCUGGGCCUGGCGGCCGCAACACCAGAGCAGAUCUGCCUCUGGGCCCCCACCCACCUGCCCUUCCUCCCGCAGUGGGGGACUUACGGGACUUUGUGAGGAGCCACCUGGGCAACCCCGCGCUGCCCUUCCACCUGUGUGAGUAGGGGGCUUGCGGCAGCUUCUCCCGCGUGAACAGCAUCGUGGGGCAGAUGGGGGCACAGGGGGAGGGAGGAAGGUGCCCUCUGCCUGCCCCAGGAGCCGUGGGGGUGGGGUGCAGGGAGAGCUGCAGGGCCGCACAAGGCGCUGAGCGGGGCGAGCAUACCCUGCAGGUGGGCCCCCCCCCUUGCCCUCCCCCGUGCCCUCCCCCCAGCUUCCUGUUGGGUCUUGGCAGCAGCAGAGCGAUGGGCGGGGGGCUGUGAGCUGAGGGGCCGCUUCAGAAACCCCCCAGCUGUGGCCGCAGGCCUCCUGCUCCCGCGUGGCGGCACCGAGGGCCAGGGCGCUUGCUGAGACAACACCCAUCUCUCCGCAGUCAUCGCUCCGCCCAAGACCAUCCUGGACGACCACACGCUGACCCUUUUUCAGGUACCAGCCUGCCAGGCUGGGGGCGCUGCUGGGCCGGCCCGAAGCGGCACAGGCCCUGGACCAGGGAGGGGCGGGUGGCCUGGAGGGAGCAGAGCGCCUCCGAAGUUGGUUGGGGCUCUGCAGCCUCGGCCCUGCCAGGACUGCCCCUGGUCUGGGGGAGAGGGGCUGGUUGCUGGGCUGUGGGGAGCCCCGGAAGGCUCAAGGGUCAGAGGCCGCAGCCACGGGUGGCCAGCUGCCUGGGAAGGCCUGGGGGUGCCAGCUGCUGGCAGCAGGUUUGGCCCCGGCCUGGAGGGGCUGCGGCCAGGCCUUUCUCCCCGACCCCGUGGCCUCUGCUGGGAAUGCCGUGCUGGGCCCUCCCCGCUGGCCGGGGCCCGGAGCUCCCAGGGUGGGGAGUGGUGAUCCUGAUGGGCUGCCCUGCUGGGCUGCGUCCAGAGCCAGAAGGAAUGUCCUGUGCCUUCGCCCCGGGAGAGCGGCCCGGGGCCUCCCCAGCCCUCCAGCCUAAUGGCUCCUCGUCAAAGUCUCUUCAGAUAUUUUAAUUAGGAGCAGAGGCUGGCCUUUGUCAAGCGGCCAGCAGGCCCCGCAGAGAUCCGAGUUGGGGUGAGGGGCCUCCGUGCUGCCCGCCCGGGGCUGCCACCGUCGGGGGGUGGGGGUGGGGGGCAGACCGACCGCAGAGAGGCUGGAAGCUCACCAAGGAAAGGAGCCAAGGUUGGCGGGAGCAGGGGGCUCCCCCCCGCGCCCCCUUCUCCGCCCCUGGGAGCCCCGGAGGCAUUGGGCCUCCUCCUGUCCCCGCCCGCCCUCCUCACUGGCCAGCCUGUUGAUAAACAUUGAAUUUGGAAGAUGCUUCGGGGUGGGGAGGCCCGCGGCCGUACACUCCCUCCAGUUGGGAGCCCUGGGUGCCGCCUGUCCCACCCACGUGGCCUGAUUCCUGGUGACACUCUGCCCCCCGCUACCAGCAGCCGUCUCCUUUCAUCCAUCAGCUCCCCUGGAGCCGCGGGGCCUCACUCAGGGUGGCGUCCCUGGCUGCCCGUGAUCAGAGAGCUGGCAGGGCCCCGGGAAGGAAGCCUUCUUCCCGCCCGCGGGCCAGCGGGCGCGGAAGCGGCCGGCUUUCAUGUCCCUGGCAGGGCUGCCUGGGGCCAGGCCUGCGCCCCAGAAAGUGACAGCUCCGGGUGGGUGUGGGGACGGCAGCCCAGCUGCCCCUCUGGCUGCGGGAGCAGGAGCGGCUCUUUGCUGAGAGAGGCCGAGGGGGCCGAGGGCGGGAGGAUGCGGAGGUCGCAGUGUGGACACAGCUGCCCAGCGCCCCCACCUCAGGCCUGCUGCCCGGGCUGAGCCCCUCCCUCCUUUCCUCCGUCUCAGCCUCCUGCCCACUGCCUCGCCCAGGGCCCUGGCUCCACCCCUGGUGGGCCCCAAAGACCACCUCGUCAGCCUGAGCAGAGGGUAGACCCUCCCUCCCAGUGGUCCCCGUGGUUGCCCGCGCUGCCCUCAGCUCUUUGUCCCUUAGGGACCCCGAGACAGAGCCGGCGGGUAGGGGGCUUCCAGCAGGUGCCGAGGGGAGGCCAGGAGGCCGGGUUCACGAGGAGCCGCCUCCAGGAGGCGCCACAGGGCGGGUGGCCCCAGUGCCUGGCCGGUUGGCUGGGUCACCCGGGGCGGGUUGGGGCACCACCCUACCUGUGCGCCCCCCCCCCGCCCCCGUCAGUGUCCGAGGCCCUGGGGCACCUCCUCGACCCUGCAGGCCACAUGCCUCCGCCCCGGGCUUCCACAUGGCCGCGUGGGGUUGCAGAGUGUUCUCAGCUGCCCUCGGCCUCAGCCUCUGCUGUGACCUUGGGUCCAGCCUUGGAAGCUCCCUCUUACUAACCCCCCAACCCAACUCCAAGAGCUGGGCCCUGAGAACGGGGCGGGGGGACACACUCAGCUGGCAGCUGUGGCCCUUCCACCAGGGACCGGAGACGUGGAGCCUCAGGCAGUGGCCUUGCUGCCGCCUCAGGCCCGCUUGGGGGUCUCAGCCGUGACCAUCCUCAGGUGCAGAGGCGGGUGGUGACCCGGGGGCUCUGCGCUCCUCUGCUGCAGCCCCAUUCGGCCCCACAGUCCAGCCCCCUGCCCGGAAGGCACCCAGUCCCACGCCAGACCCGGAGCAGAAACCUCCGGCAGCCUCUGCUGGGGGGGGCGCUGCCAGGCCUAGCUCCUCCUUCAGGAUGUCUGCUGCUCCCCGGGAACUGGGGGGAGAAAGGCCGGAGCGCACAGGUGCCCGUCCGGCUGGGGCUGGAGCUGGCCCCGGGCAGGAUCCUGUGGUCUGAUGCCCUGGCCAGCCAGGGCAGCUGGGUGGUGGGCCAUGUUGUGGGGUGGUGCCCUGGCCCCUGAGCUCCCUCUGCACCCCUCAGGCCAGCCUCUUCCCCGCUGCCCUUGUGCAUUUCGGACCCGAGGAGCCGACAGGUGGGUGGCCCCUCUCUCCGCCCACCGCCACUGGCUCUGGGCGUGGAUGCCCACUCCUCAGACGGGUGCGGGAGGGAGGCCAGUGGCCCUGAUGCCCCCAUAUCCCCCUUCGGGCUGGGACAGCCGCCUGCCCGGCCAGGCCCCUUGCCCUGUGGCCUGAGGUGAGGCUGGACCUCCCGCAGGCAUCUACUUGGAGCCCAGGCUGCUGGAACACACUGUGUCCCCAUCUGCUGCUGACGUCCUGGUGGCCAGGUGAGUGACUCCAGAGGGGUAGGGAGGGCCCAGUGCCCAGUGCCCACUAUCCUGUUCCUUGGCCUUUGUCCUCAGGUGCAUGUCCAGGGCCGCCGGGACCCCAUCCCCGCUGCCAGCCCCUGCCUCUGUGCCCCUGGAGUUGGAACCAACCUCUGAGGAAGAGGCAGCAGGGCCCCCCGCGCCCAGCCCUGGGAUGGCCCAGCCCGUGAGGAGGGACCUGGGCAAGGUGCCCAAGUGGCUGAAGCUGCCAGCCGCCAAGAGGUGAGAGCCACCAGCCCAGAGGUGCCCACUCUGACAGCCACAGGACCCCUGCCUACUGAGCGGAAAUAAAGACGCGAGCCUCU
This is a non-coding RNA of Sus scrofa (pig), 5551 nucleotides long. Lineage: Eukaryota; Metazoa; Chordata; Mammalia; Artiodactyla; Suidae. The record is from RefSeq and is a predicted model, not a curated record.